This 3729-nucleotide small RNA is filed under the name Pongo abelii (Sumatran orangutan). Its description in RNAcentral is "retained intron". The record is from RNAcentral. Lineage: Eukaryota; Metazoa; Chordata; Mammalia; Primates; Hominidae.
GCACAGAGUUUGGCUUCUGUCCAGAGUGUCAAUUCUUGUCAUAGCUGCGCUUGUGGCAAUUCUAAUUCCUGGGACAAAGUAGAUGAAGAUGAUAUUAAACUUGUUAAUAUUCCUGUGACUACUCCAGAGAACUUAUACUUAAUGGGUAUGGAAUUGUUUGAAGAAGCAUUGCGUCGAUGGGAACAAGCUCUGACCUUUCGCAAUAGACAGGCUGAAGAUGAAGCCUGUGGUUCCAUUAAACUGGGUGCAGGAGAUGCCAUUGCUGAAGAAAAUGUAGAUGAUAUUAUUAGUACUGAAUUUAUCCAUAAACUCGAAGCUCUGCUGCAAAGAGCCUAUCGUCUCCAAGAGGAGUUUGAAGCUACCCUUGGGGCAUCUGAUCCUAAUUCCCUUGCUGAUGAUAUUGAUAACGAUACAGAUAUCACCAUGAAGGGUAACGUGGAUGACUUUGGCCUGCGAGACACCUUGAGCAUUGCAUCCACGGAUUCCUUUGCUUCUGCAGCAGAGCUUGCAGAACACAGAGAAGUAAGGCAUACCUACAGCCUGGAGUCCCUUUGUCACUGCCCGUUUUACGAGGAAGCCAUGCAUUUAGUUGAAGAAGGAAAAAUUUACUCCAGAGUACUGAGGUACCAUUUCAGAUUUGUUUAUGUUUAUGAAGGAUAUUAAGGUGUUUGUGUGGUACUUAUUAAAAAUGUUUAUGAGAAUAGGAGAAAAUAUGUUUUUAGGUCCAAGUAAAGAAAAAAUUAUUUUACAUGUUCUGUCAGUAUUGAAAAAACAUGUUUUAUAUAAGGUCCUGAGGUUAAGCCUUGUUUGAAUCCAAAUUUAUAGUAGGCUUGAUCUUGAAUGUAGUUUAACAAUUGUCUCCCCUGUUUAUUACAUAGAACUGAAAUGUUGGAGUGCCUAGGAGACAGUGAUUUUCUUGCCAAACUUCACUGUAUUCGACAGGCUUUUCAGGUAUUUUUUUAACAUUAAGUGACUUCACCCAGCCACUCAUCCCCACCCUCAUGCUGUAGAGUCCAGUGCAAAUAAACAGGACAGCUCUGUGCUCUUGAUUAUCCCUAUUCCUAAUGACAAAUAUAAAGUCCACUAAACUUAUUUUUCCUCCCUGCUACUUGCCUUCAUUUGUUUCCGUAUUUCAUUAUCCUCUUCCACGGCUUCCCAGGCCCACCAGACUUUGUCAAAACAGGAUAUUUUGAUACUUCAGGAGCGUAAAAAUGGCUGCUUAAAAUAAAAACCCUCUUUCUUAUUAAUUAGUGUGUAUUUGAGAUUUAAUUUCAGUCAAUUAUAAAAUUGAUUUUCUAAAAAGAAAAUAACAAGAAUAUAUUUGUUUUCUUAUGUUUUGGGGCUACAGGAAAUUUAUUUAAGACUGUAAUAUGAUUUUGAACAGAAUUUAAAUUUAAAUUUUACUCCCUUUAAUCUUUUUUUGACUAUAGGUUUCAAGAGUUCUUUUUAUUUUAGUAAAUUAGGACUUUCUCUGUGAGCUGCCUGUUGAAAUAGCACCACAUGCAAUGCAUUAACUGUUUUAGGAUUAUUUGUGCUAUUAAGUUGAAUGUCCAUUCACAUUCAUUAUAGGUCUCUUUUUUUCUUUGGGGAUGAAUAUUUUUUCAGGUAAUUCUUUCAGAAUCAGCUAACAGGAUAUUCCUCGCUGAGAGUGGAAGGAAAAUUUUAUCAGCUUUAAUUGUGAAAGCACGAAAGGUAAACUUCUUCUGUUGGCAAGAUUUUUACCAUUUACAAAAGUUGUUUUUACCCUUUGAACUGAAGAUUAAGAUAUUAAAUUUUUGAUAGAAGAAAAAGUUUUUGUGGAUAGUUGAAAAGGGCAUUAAGUUAUGCUCGGGUUGAACUAUGUAUAAAGUCCACACUAUUUCAACCAAGUUGUUUCUCAUAAAUUAUUUCCAAUUUGCCAUAAACUCUGUAAAUAUCAUGGUGAGAAUUAUCAUUAGAUCUGCUGCUAUAACCAUCACUAUUAUUGUUACUGAUGCCUCCUCUUUUAUUACCUCAAUCUUGUUCAGGAAGAGGGUUACAGGAAAUAGCGUAGGUCUCAGAAAUCUGGAAUACAAAUUGAACUGCCUCAUCUUCAUGUAGUUGAAUGAGGCAGAAGCAAUGACAAGAACUUCAUUCAGACUGUAAGGAACCACCUUACUUUAUGUAAGGUUUGUCCAGAUGAUGAGAAAACAAAACAAGCCUUCCUUGAGCCAUUUGCACACCUAGUUUUCAGACUCAAUCCCUUUGAACUUUAAUUCUUUCAUUUAUAUAAUAGAAUUAUAUUUAUAUUACCUCAUUUCAGAGGGUUUUUAGGAUGAUUAAAUACAUGAUAAAUGGGAAAGCAACUUAAAGAAUAAAGUGUUAAGUAGUGUAAAGUGCUAAGUAUAUGUAAGGUGAUACUAACUAUUAAUACAUGCAAUUCCCAAUGUAAGUCUUGUGUUGCUUUCUUGGCUUUCUCAUGACAGAUAAACUCAGUGAUUUGAACUAGGCUUCCUCCAAAAGAAGCAGAACUGCAACAAAAGCCUCACAUAAUGUCUGCUAUAACCAAAUUUUCAUUUUAAGGACUGACCAAAAUAGGCAUACAUAUUUGAGUAAUAAAUAGUUUGCUUGUGACAUUUUACUGACAUUCUUUAUCUUGGCUUCUGCAAAAUGUUGCAACAGCAAAGUAGUAAACCAGAUAAAUUUGGCAUACCUUUAAAAUGUAUUUUAGUUCAGUUACCUAGUAGAAUUAAGAUCUACCAGACUUAUUUGAAGAGUAACUUUCUUUGUAGCUUGUUAUAAAGUUGAGUUUAGGGUUAAAAUGUGUUUUCUUCUUCAGAAUCCAAAGAAGUUUGAAGAUGUUUUUGAUGAAAUGAUCUAUUUUUUAGAGCAGACCGAUCACUGGGGUAGUACUGAAAUGGAACUUGCUGCUAGAGGGGUAAAUUAAAAUUUUUUGUGAUAUUUAUUUUUCUUAGUUAUUUGCAUGUAAUUUUAUAUGAGUUGAGACUUCUGUUUCAUUGUCCUUGUUAAAUAAAGUAAAGCCAAUUGUAUGGUUGUGGGACAUCUUUUUUUCUGACGAAGUCAUAAACCACACUCCUUGUACAUUGGGGCAGUAGUUGUAAAUUGUUUUCUAAGAAGCCUUUUUUGCUGUUGUUGGCUCCUUGCUUCCUUCCCUCCUGUCCUCCUUCCCUUGUUCCCUCUCUUCCUUCUCUCCAAAAGUCAUUGGCAGGCCCCUAGCAGGGCAGGAAUGGUGGCCUAUGCAAGGACAGCUUUGGGUAGUACAACAGCAGCAGCUCAGUAGGGCUGGGGAAUUGGCUGUAUACACAGGACUGAGCAAAUAAGUAUACUGAGAAAAAUCAGAGCCAGCUUUUCCCUGUGAGAGAAGGGAGGUAUAAAACGCUGGGAUUGGAAUUGGAGCUGUCAGUGUGAGUUCACAGUUUAUAAUGUAUAUGUAGAUACAGAUAUAGAAAUAAAUAUAGGUCCGGGCAUGGUGGUUCAUGCCUGUCAUCCCAGCACUUUAGGAGGCUGAGGCGGGCGGAUCACCUGAGGUCAGGAGUUUGAGACCAACCUAGCCAACAUGGCAAAAUCUCGUCUCUACUGAAAUACAAAAAUUAGCCAGGUGUAGUGGCUCACGCCUGUAAUCCCAACUACUCGGGAGGCCAAGGAACGAGAAUUGCUGGAACCUGGGAGGUGGAGGUGGCAGUGAGCCAAGAUUGCGCCACUGUACUCCAGCCUAGAUGACAGAACGAGACUCUGUCUCAAAAAAUAUAU